GAGUCUGGAGCUCAGUUGGAUAGAGCAACGGCCUUCUAAGCCGUGGGUCGGGGGUUCGAAUCCCUUCAGGCUCG
Molecule: transfer RNA, 74 nt
Filed under: Lachnospiraceae bacterium AM26-1LB
Lineage: Bacteria; Bacillati; Bacillota; Clostridia; Lachnospirales; Lachnospiraceae
Description: tRNA-Arg
Rfam family: tRNA
About the family: Transfer RNA (tRNA) molecules are approximately 80 nucleotides in length. Their secondary structure includes four short double-helical elements and three loops (D, anti-codon, and T loops). Further hydrogen bonds mediate the characteristic L-shaped molecular structure. tRNAs have two regions of fundamental functional importance: the anti-codon, which is responsible for specific mRNA codon recognition, and the 3' end, to which the tRNAs corresponding amino acid is attached (by aminoacyl-tRNA synthetases). tRNAs cope with the degeneracy of the genetic code in two manners: having more than one tRNA (with a specific anti-codon) for a particular amino acid; and 'wobble' base-pairing, i.e. permitting non-standard base-pairing at the 3rd anti-codon position.
Source: RNAcentral